GUGGAAACCAAGAUAAUGUCUAAGUUAUAUAACAGUUCUUUCCAUAAUCAAUCACUGUCUAGUUUUAGAUCUACCUAAGAAGGUUCUUGCACACAUGGGAAUAAGCUGACUGAGGUAAUAGAUGAGUUCCAAAUCACUGAUACUUUCUCUACUUAGAGGGCAGACCCAAAAUAAAUCUGCUCAUGCCUGACAUGUAACUGGUUAUCUGCACCAUGAAGGUUUUGCAGAGCUGUCUCUGAAGAAACGACUCAUUUCCUUAUCCAUGAUAGCCUGAAGACGAUGAUGUGACAGUGACGAAAGACUGCAAUAAAGGGCAGUUGAAACUUUUUGGGGAGAGGUUUCUACUUCUGGAAGACAACAGGCAGUGGCUGCAUUCGAUGAACAGAAAUGAAUUUUAUUUUCAAAAUAUGAAAGCUCAUAGAAUUAUAGAAAUUAUGGAAGAAAAAGAUAUAUUGGGCCAUCUCUUCCACUCUGGAGGCUGUGGCAGCUUUGUCCAUGCCUUAUAAGGCCUCCUGAUCCUGCCUUUCCAUUUAGCAACCUGGAGGGAGGGAAGGAUGAAGAAAGUGAAUGGAGAACUGACCAAGAUAAUCUUCCCAAAUGGAGCAGAGACAUCCUAGGGUAGUCAUCUAUCUCCUCUAGAAAACUCCCAAUGCAAAUCACCCAGUCUCCAUACCUUCCCCUUCUCCACUGUGAGGUCGUUCUGUCCCUGUAGUUGUUCCAGUUCAGCAGUUUAUCUGGUUGAACUCUGAAGGGACAGAUAAAGUACCUGUAAUUUU
Molecule: long non-coding RNA, 776 nt
Organism: Oxyura jamaicensis (ruddy duck)
Lineage: Eukaryota; Metazoa; Chordata; Aves; Anseriformes; Anatidae
Exons: 5
Source: RefSeq, a predicted model, not a curated record